This is a non-coding RNA of Pelobates cultripes (western spadefoot toad), 879 nucleotides long. NCBI's taxonomy places the organism in Eukaryota, Metazoa, Chordata, Amphibia, Anura, Pelobatidae. The record is from the annotation of a GenBank genome assembly.
CACACUACUCUUAGGUUUGCCACCUGACUGGUAUUUUACUAGCACAGCUGGUAUUUGAGGCUGCCGUGCAAGUAUUGCAGUAAUACCGGCAAUACAAAUGCAGGUAAUUUUCUCAGAAUAAAUGGAAAUUACUCUGCAAUACCAGCACCGGUCAGUAGGGGUCACUGUGUGUGGAGAGAGGCAGGUAUAGGAAGUUACAGAAUAUCCCUGCCUCUCUCUACUACUCACUGAUCUGUGGGGGAGCAGCUACACAGCAUAGAGUCCAGACAGCAGCUCUACAGCUCAGGUGAGGGAUGGGGGGAAAGGUAGCAGGGACACAUGGGGACACUGAGACACUAGGGGACAUAUGGGGACACUGAGACACUAGGGGACACAGACACUGGGGGACACAUGGGGACACAGACACUAGGGGACACUGAGACACUAAGACACAGACACUGGGAGACCUUGGAACACUGAGACACUUGGGGACACUGGAAAACAUGGGGACACCGGGACACUAGAGGACACUGAGACACUAGGGGACAUAUGGGGACACUGAGACAUUAGGGGACACAUGGGGACACAGACACUAGGGGACACUGAGACACUAGGACACCUGGGGACACAGACACUGGGAGACCUGGGGACACAGACACAUGGGGACACUGAGACACUUGGGGACACUGGAAAACAUGGGGACACUGAGACACUAGGGGACACUGAGACACUAGGGGACACUGGGACACAUGGGAUGCUGUAAGACAUAGGGACAUUGGGAGACAUUGGGACACGGAGACACGAUGUUCCCAUGUCCCCCAGCCAGUGUCCCUAGUGUCUCAGUGUCCCCAAGUCUCCCAGUGUCUGUGUCCCAUGUCUCUCAGUGUGCCUAGUGUCCCC